Molecule: ribosomal RNA, 994 nt
Filed under: uncultured archaeon
Lineage: Archaea
Description: bacterial SSU rRNA
Rfam family: Archaeal small subunit ribosomal RNA
Source: RNAcentral
AGAAAACUUUGCAAUGUGCGAAAGCACGACAAGGUUAAUCCGAGUGGUUUCUGCUAAAGAAACCUUUUGUCAGUCCUAGAAACACUAACGAAUAAGGGGUGGGCAAGUUCUGGUGUCAGCCGCCGCGGUAAAACCAGCACCUCAAGUGGUCAGGAUGAUUAUUGGGCCUAAAGCAUCCGUAGCUCGUUUUGUAAGUUUUCGGUUAAAUCCAUGCGCUUAACGUAUGGGCUGCCGGGAAUACUGCAUAACUAGGAAGUGGGAGAGGUAGACGGUACUCGGUAGGAGGGGGUAAAAUCCUUUGAUCUAUUGAUGACCACCUGUGGCGAAGGCGGUCUACCAGAACACGUUCGACGGUGAGGGAUGAAAGCUGGGGGAGCAAACCGGAUUAGAUACCCGGGUAGUCCCAGCUGUAAACUAUGCAAACUCAGUGAUGCAUUGGCUUAUGGCCAAUGCAGUGCUGCAGGGAAGCCGUUAAGUUUGCCGCCUGGGAAGUACGUACGCAAGUAUGAAACUUAAAGGAAUUGGCGGGGGAGCACCACAAGGGGUGAAGCCUGCGGUUCAAUUGGAGUCAACGCCAGAAAUCUUACCCGGAGAGACAGCAGAAUGAAGGUCAAGCUGAAGACUUUACCAGACAAGCUGAGAGGUGGUGCAUGGCCGUCGCCAGCUCGUGCCGUGAGAUGUCCUGUUAAGUCAGGUAACGAGCGAGAUCCCUGCCUCUAGUUGCCACCAUUACUCUCAGGAGUAGUGGGGCGAAUUAGCGGGACCGCCGCAGUUAAUGCGGAGGAAGGAAGGGGCCACGGCAGGUCAGUAUGCCCCGAAACUCUGGGGCCACACGCGGGCUGCAAUGGUAGUGACAAUUGGUUCCGAAUCCGAAAGGAGGAGGUAAUCCCUAAACGCUACCACAGUUAUGACUGAGGGCUGCAACUCGCCCUCACGAAUAUGGAAUCCCUAGUAACUGCGUGUCAUUAUCGCGCGGUGAAUACGUCCCUGCUCC